This is an RNA transcript of Drosophila ananassae, 1700 nucleotides long. It is a transcript of the gene named putative gustatory receptor 10b, with no coding region annotated. The transcript is spliced from 5 exons. The record is from RefSeq and is a predicted model, not a curated record. NCBI's taxonomy places the organism in Eukaryota, Metazoa, Arthropoda, Insecta, Diptera, Drosophilidae.
CCUGCCGCCUUAGUUGCUUGCGAAGAUGCGAGGACGCCGGUUGUACCACCUGGCUUUGAGUACCUGGUUGGGCCAGUGCCAGGUCCUGGGCUUCUGCAGUCACUACUACAACAGGAAGCGACGGUGCCUGGUGCACUCGAGGUGGUUGCAGGCCUACCACUGGUUCCUGAUGGCCGCCACUUUGGUGUUCCACUAUCCCUAUUGGAAGUACGCCAUGGUGUACUUUGAAAAGGGAACCUUUCGACGCCAGGACUUCAUAAUGCAGGUCAGUGAGGGAAGUGUGAUGCUCAACCUCCUAACCCUCAUCAUCCACGCUGUCCUGACAGUCCUCUACGAACGGAAAGUGGGAGAGAUCUACAACGAACUGGCCAGGAUACUGAGGAAGGAUCUGAGGCAGAAAGAGCCCACUGCCUCCUUCUACUACAUCGUAUUCUUCGCCAAAUUCCACAACUACCUGCACAACUUCAACUUUGCCCUGGGUGUCCUGAUGGUGUUGGGAAUGCGAACCAUUCGAUGGGCCGAUAUUUUCGCAAAUAUCUAUUUUGUUUACAUUUGUCUGUCCCGGGAGUCGGUGAUCUUCUGCUAUGUCCUGCUACUCCUAGACUUUGGUGAGGCUUUGCGGCUAAACAGCCAACAGGAACAGGACUCGUAUGGCGGUGUUUUGAGGCAGCUCCAGCGACAGGAGCGCCUAAAGACGAUGCUGAGACAAGUGCACAGGAUUUUUGGAUGGCAGGUGGCAGGGAAUAUGAUGUUCUAUCUGUACUUCAACAUGGCAACGAUAUACUUGGGCUACACCUUCAUGAGCCAGCAACCGGAGGCAAUGCGGCUAGGACUCUCCCACAUCAAGAUCCUGUUGACGGCCAUAGGGAUUGUGGUGAUGCUCUCGGAUGGCUUGAUUCUCCAGAUUAUCUGCGAGUAUUUGCUGUUUCAAGGGAAUAGACUAUGUUCCAGUCCCAAAUUUAAGGAGCAGGAGGAGCAGAAUAAACAGGACUUUAUAGCAGCUCAGCGGCAGUUUUUCUGCCAUGGAGUGUAACUGGAAUACCCUGGCCCUCCUCCGAAUCCUACCAGCCACACAGACCAACUUUUAAUCAGGAUAUUGCCAGCGUGUUUCAGGAUCGGCUGAAGAACUACUGUGUGGUCUGGAGUUCCUCCACAUACAUUAGAAAUAUCUUGAUGACUGCAUUUGCACAAGGAUAAUUACCUAACUCCCAUCUGCGAUAUUUCCCCGAGAUCUAAGACACUACUAAGGAGUACAAAUUGGAUCUUCCAAAAGCCUAUUUGGUCGCCGAUCGGUUACAGAAUGCAGAAGUGCUAUCGGGAUGGACCUGUAUAUUCAUAAUUCCAGAAAGCUACCUAAUUUUCACAUUUCGAAAUAUUUUACCAAGUUAUUUUAUAACCAUAUCUAUAUGAAUUAUCAAUUACAUAUGUUCUUAAUGUUUUUAAGCUAGGAAUACUUUACAUUUAUAAAUAAAAUGAGUUAAUAUUUUCCGAUCUUUCCGGAAUAUUCAGGAUUUGUUCCUGAAUAUUUCGGAUUUUGCUAAGGUUUUCAGGAUAUUUUUCGGAUUUUCUCGCAUGCAAUUUAUAACUAUUUGGUUCAUGCUAAAAUAGCAUGCGAGAAAAGUAUAACAAGAGUUUCCUGGUAAUUACGUGCGCGUAUCUCGGUCAUUAGGUGGCCGAUCUGGCAUCGCCGUACAUUUUCG